GCCUCUGAUUUACGUUAGCGUAACGGCAGCAGUUCUCAUUCACUCACCCCAUUAAACAAAGCAUUUCGUCAUUUACUCACCACUCCACCCACUCUGUCUCAUUGAAUCAGCCCACCCUCUUCCAAGGUAAUGGAUUGAAGCUCCACCUAUAAAUUAUUUUGUUGUCUGCGAUGAACAGCCUCAUCCUUAUGAAAUCCGAAAUAACAAGCUUUGUCAAGCACCAAUUCAAACAAUGGCAACUUCGUACAUGCCCGUCUGAUGGCAAAAGGCUGCGAGCUUAUGGAUGUCAUCAAAGAGGCAGUGUAGUUGAAUCCAACACUGUCCACUUAGUUGUUGUAGUCGUUAAGGCAGAGAUCAUCCGUGAGAUCAUCCGUUGAUGGGUCUGCAAUAAGUAGUGCCUCAUCAAGAGAAGAAGAAAAGGAAAAUGUAGAUCAUUCAGAUGAGGUCUCAGUAAGUAAUGCAAGUGACAUGAACACAGAAUAGGUAGAAGAGUACGAAGCCUGUGUUUACAUCACAAUCAAAGCUUUACCAGAUGGGACUUGCGAGCUUAGACGCGGCAGCUUCAGUGGAGAGAGGUUUGGAGAGACGAAUGCAACAUUGUGGUGGGAAGAGAGCAAAGUUCGGAUUUAGCAGCAGUACUUGUGAUGCUAUCUGCAAGAAUCUUACUCAGCAAAACCAAACACUUUUUUAAACAAAUGUUUUAGUUGGAGAGUAUCUAUACAUUAGUGGAAAUAACGGCUCUGAGAUAAUGAA
This is a long non-coding RNA of Raphanus sativus (radish), 753 nucleotides long. RefSeq lists it as uncharacterized. NCBI's taxonomy places the organism in Eukaryota, Viridiplantae, Streptophyta, Magnoliopsida, Brassicales, Brassicaceae. The record is from RefSeq and is a predicted model, not a curated record. The transcript has 2 exons.